CUGCUAUCGGAUGAUACUAAGCCAUGCGAGUCUUUGUAGUAAUACAAGGCAGACGGCUCAGUAACACGUAGUCAACCUACCCUAUGGACAAGAAUAAUCUCGGGAAACUGGGCAUAAUUCUUGAUAGAUCAUAAUGCCUGGAAUGGUUUAUGGUUAAAAUGAUUCGUCGCCAUAGGAUGGGACUGCGGCCUAUCAGCUUGUUGGUGAGGUAAUGGCCCACCAAGGCGAUUACAGGUACGGGCUCUGAGAGGAGAAGCCCGGAGAUGGGUACUGAGACACGGACCCAGGCCCUAUGGGGCGCAGCAGGCGAGAAAACUUUGCAAUGUGCGAAAGCACGACAAGGUUAAUCCGAGUGAUUUCUGCUAAAGAAAUCUUUUGCCAGUCAUAAAACCACUGGUGAAUAAGGGGUGGGCAAGUUCUGGUGUCAGCCGCCGCGGUAAAACCAGCACCUCAAGUGGUCAGGAUGAUUAUUGGGCCUAAAGCAUCCGUAGCCGGCUUUGUAAGUUUUCGGUUAAAUCCAUGUGCUCAACGCAUGGGCUGCCGAAAAUACUGCAUGGCUAGGGAGUGGGAGAGGUAGACGGUACUCAGUAGGAAGGGGUAAAAUCCUUUGAUCUAUUGAUGACCACCUGUGGCGAAGGCGGUCUACCAGAACACGUUCGACGGUGAGGGAUGAAAGCUGGGGGAGCAAACCGGAUUAGAUACCCGGGUAGUCCCAGCUGUAAACGAUGCAGACUCGAUGAUGCAUUGGCAUAAUAGCUAGUGCAGUGUCGCAGGGAAGCCGUUAAGUCUGCCGCCUGGGAAGUACGUACGCAAGUAUGAAACUUAAAGGAAUUGGCGGGGGAGCACCACAAGGGUGAAGCCUGCGGUUCA
RNAcentral lists this ribosomal RNA (870 nucleotides) under uncultured marine group I thaumarchaeote. RNAcentral describes it as "SSU rRNA". It matches the Rfam family "Archaeal small subunit ribosomal RNA", at positions 27 to 904 of the family's 1478-position model. Lineage: Archaea; Thermoproteati; Nitrososphaerota. The record is from RNAcentral.